GGGAUUGCCCCAGUAACGGCGAGUGAAGCGGCAACAGCUCAGAUUUGAAAUCUGGCCCCUUUGGGGUCCGAGUUGUAAUCUGUAGAGGAUGCUUUUGGCGACGCGCCUUCCGAGUCCCCUGGAACGGGGCGCCAGAGAGGGUGAGAGCCCCGUAUGGUCGGACGCCGAACCUCUGUAAAGCUCCUUCGACGAGUCGAGUAGUUUGGGAAUGCUGCUCAAAAUGGGAGGUAAAUUUCUUCUAAAGCUAAAUACCGGCCAGAGACCGAUAGCGCACAAGUAGAGUGAUCGAAAGAUGAAAAGCACUUUGAAAAGAGGGUCAAAUAGCACGUGAAAUUGCUGAAAGGGAAGCGCUUGUGACCAGACUUGCGCCCGGUUGAUCAUCCAGCGUUCUCGCUGGUGCACUCUGCCGGGCUCAGGCCAGCAUCGGCUCUCCCAGGGGGAUAAAGGUCGCGGGAACGUAGCUCUCUCCGGGGAGUGUUAUAGCCCGUGGCGGAAUGCCCUUAGGGGGGGCCGAGGCCCGCGUUCGCAAGGAUGCUGGCGUAAUGGUCACCAGCGACCCGUCUUGAAACACGGACCAAGGAGUCAAGCAUUAGGGCGAGUCUUUGGGUGCAAAACCCGCAGGCGCAAUGAAAGUGAACGGAGGUGAGAGCUUCGGCGCAUCAUCGACCGAUCCUGAUGUUCUCGGAUGGAUUUGAGUAAGAGCCUUACCGCUUGGACCCGAAAGAUGGUGAACUAUGCCUGAAUAGGGUGAAGCCAGAGGAAACUCUGGUGGAGGCUCGCAGCGGUUCUGACGUGCAAAUCGAUCGUCAAAUUUGGGCAUGGGGGCGAAAGACUAAUCGAACCUCUAGAGUGUACGGCCCCUC
RNAcentral lists this ribosomal RNA (863 nucleotides) under Distoseptispora sp. RNAcentral's name for it is "partial large subunit ribosomal RNA". It matches the Rfam family "Eukaryotic large subunit ribosomal RNA", at positions 71 to 960 of the family's 3401-position model. Lineage: Eukaryota; Fungi; Ascomycota; Sordariomycetes; Distoseptisporaceae. The record is from RNAcentral.